Molecule: transfer RNA, 70 nt
Filed under: Camelus bactrianus (Bactrian camel)
Lineage: Eukaryota; Metazoa; Chordata; Mammalia; Artiodactyla; Camelidae
Also listed under: 2 other names
Rfam family: tRNA
About the family: Transfer RNA (tRNA) molecules are approximately 80 nucleotides in length. Their secondary structure includes four short double-helical elements and three loops (D, anti-codon, and T loops). Further hydrogen bonds mediate the characteristic L-shaped molecular structure. tRNAs have two regions of fundamental functional importance: the anti-codon, which is responsible for specific mRNA codon recognition, and the 3' end, to which the tRNAs corresponding amino acid is attached (by aminoacyl-tRNA synthetases). tRNAs cope with the degeneracy of the genetic code in two manners: having more than one tRNA (with a specific anti-codon) for a particular amino acid; and 'wobble' base-pairing, i.e. permitting non-standard base-pairing at the 3rd anti-codon position.
Source: Rfam by way of RNAcentral
GGAUAUAGCUCAGUGGUUGAGCACAUGCUAAGCAUGCAUGAGAUCCAGGGUUCAAUCCCUGGUACCGCCA